CCCUUAGAUGUUCUGGGCUGCACACGUGCUACACUGGCAGGUUCAGCAAGCUUCAUGCCCUGAUCUGAAAGGAAUGGAAAAUCUUUUCAAAACCUGCCGUGCUUGGGAUAGAUGUUUGCAAUUAUUCAUCUUCAACGAGGAUUGCCUUGUAAGCGCACGUCAUCAGCGUGCAUUGAAUACGACCCUGUAUUCUGUACACACCGCCCGUCGCUCCUACCGAUUGAAGUUUUCGGUGAGUUGACAGGAGGAUUUUUUUGAAACUGGUUCGCCAGUGGAUUUUAGAUCCAAAUGCCAACGAAUCGAUGGCUUUAGAGGAAGGAGAAGUCGUAACA
RNAcentral lists this ribosomal RNA (332 nucleotides) under uncultured eukaryote. RNAcentral describes it as "partial 18S ribosomal RNA". It matches the Rfam family "Eukaryotic small subunit ribosomal RNA", at positions 1470 to 1796 of the family's 1831-position model. The record is from RNAcentral.